AGCACAUCCUUUGUACUCAUUUAGAAACGUAACUCUGAAUUUCUCUGUCUCUGCAAAGGGGUAAUUCCUGGGUGUUCUUCAGUGGUGAGUGAAGGCAUUUUUGCACAUGCUAUCGGAUGAACUGAGUCUAGAAUUUUGGUGAGACAUAUUUGAUACCGAAAAAAGUGAACCCCAGGAGAGGGCUCCAAGCUUCAGCUCUUGUCUGAGACUGUCCUGCACUGUGGCUGUAUGAUUACCAUAGCCCUUGACUUCUGAAUGGCAAAUGGCACCUGAAAGAGAAAUCACUAAGUCACAGGGUCGGCUCCAUCCUACUCCUCUAUACUAUACAGACCAGGGCUUGGACUUGGCUGUGUUCCUCUGCUGAAGGUUACAGCUACUGCUGCACAGCUGUCUUUGUACAGAUCUCCCCAGAUAAAGCCACAAUGUAAGGUUCCAGGUGGCCACACUUAUUUGGAGACACCAUUUAACACGGUUCUGCUUCUACUUCCAUGAGAACCUAGUGAAGAAGACACAGCCAGAGCUUUGAUCAAAGAUUCCAAAUGCAAAUACAACUAACCACCCAACUGGUCCCAUCAGCCAAUGUAUCUCUUUGUUACCUCAAGGGAGAUUGAUUUACGCUUUCAUCAAUAAAUCUUCAUAUUUUCAA
This 646-nucleotide long non-coding RNA is filed under the name Mus musculus (house mouse). RNAcentral's name for it is "RIKEN cDNA 1700023F02 gene". Lineage: Eukaryota; Metazoa; Chordata; Mammalia; Rodentia; Muridae. The record is from RNAcentral.